Molecule: ribosomal RNA, 491 nt
Filed under: uncultured bacterium
Lineage: Bacteria
Description: partial 16S ribosomal RNA
Rfam family: Bacterial small subunit ribosomal RNA
Source: RNAcentral
GAUGAACGCUGGCUACAGGCUUAACACAUGCAAGUCGAGGGGAAACGACGGGGAAGCUUGCUUCCCCGGGCGUCGACCGGCGCACGGGUGAGUAACGCGUAUCCAACCUGCCUCUGACUGAGGGAUAACCCGUCGAAAGUCGGCCUAAUACCUCAUGGCAUCGUCUGCGGGCAUCCAACGACGAUUAAAGAUUUCAUCGGUCAGAGAUGGGGAUGCGUCUGAUUAGCUUGUUGGCGGGGUAACGGCCCACCAAGGCGACGAUCAGUAGGGGUUCUGAGAGGAAGGUCCCCCUCAUUGGAACUGAGACACGGUCCAAACUCCUACGGGAGGCAGCAGUGAGGAAUAUUGGUCAAUGGGCGAGAGCCUGAACCAGCCAAGUAGCGUGCAGGAUGACGGCCCUAUGGGUUGUAAACUGCUUUUAUGCGGGGAUAAAGUGAGGGACGUGUCCUUCAUUGCAGGUACCGCAUGAAUAAGGACCGGCUAAUUCCGUG